UACGUAGGGUGCGAGCGUUGUCCGGAAUUAUUGGGCGUAAAGGGCUCGUAGGCGGUUUGUCGCGUCGGGAGUGAAAUCCACUGGCUUAACUGGUGGCUUGCUUUCGAUACGGGCAGACUGGAGGUAUGCAGGGGAGAACGGAAUUCCUGGUGUAGCGGUGAAAUGCGCAGAUAUCAGGAGGAACACCGGUGGCGAAAGCGGCUCACUGGACCUCUUCUGACGCUGAGGCACGAAAGCUAGGGUAGCGAACGGG
This 253-nucleotide ribosomal RNA is filed under the name uncultured bacterium. Its description in RNAcentral is "partial 16S ribosomal RNA". It matches the Rfam family "Bacterial small subunit ribosomal RNA", at positions 524 to 776 of the family's 1533-position model. The record is from RNAcentral.